Molecule: ribosomal RNA, 1313 nt
Filed under: Weissella cibaria
Lineage: Bacteria; Bacillati; Bacillota; Bacilli; Lactobacillales; Lactobacillaceae
Description: bacterial SSU rRNA
Rfam family: Bacterial small subunit ribosomal RNA
Source: RNAcentral
AUGGUUCUGCUAUCACUAAGAGAUGGUCCCGCGGUGCAUUAGUUAGUUGGUGAGGUAAUGGCUCACCAAGACGAUGAUGCAUAGCCGAGUUGAGAGACUGAUCGGCCACAAUGGGACUGAGACACGGCCCAUACUCCUACGGGAGGCAGCAGUAGGGAAUCUUCCACAAUGGGCGAAAGCCUGAUGGAGCAACGCCGCGUGUGUGAUGAAGGGUUUCGGCUCGUAAAACACUGUUGUAAGAGAAGAAUGACAUUGAGAGUAACUGUUCAAUGUGUGACGGUAUCUUACCAGAAAGGAACGGCUAAAUACGUGCCAGCAGCCGCGGUAAUACGUAUGUUCCAAGCGUUAUCCGGAUUUAUUGGGCGUAAAGCGAGCGCAGACGGUUAUUUAAGUCUGAAGUGAAAGCCCUCAGCUCAACUGAGGAAUUGCUUUGGAAAGUGGAUGCCUUGAGUGCAGUAGAGGAAAGUGGAACUCCAUGUGUAGCGGUGAAAUGCGUAGAUAUAUGGAAGAACACCAGUGGCGAAGGCGGCUUUCUGGACUGUAACUGACGUUGAGGCUCGAAAGUGUGGGUAGCAAACAGGAUUAGAUACCCUGGUAGUCCACACCGUAAACGAUGAGUGCUAGGUGUUUGAGGGUUUCCGCCCUUAAGUGCCGCAGCUAACGCAUUAAGCACUCCGCCUGGGGAGUACGACCGCAAGGUUGAAACUCAAAGGAAUUUGACGGGGACCCGCACAAGCGGUGGAGCGUGUGGUUUAAUUCGAAGCAACGCGAAGAACCUUACCAGGUCUUGACAUCCCUUGACAACUCCAGAGAUGGAGCGUUCCCUUCGGGGACAAGGUGACAGGUGGUGCAUGGUUGUCGUCAGCUCGUGUCGUGAGAUGUUGGGUUAAGUCCCGCAACGAGCGCAACCCUUAUUACUAGUUGCCAGCAUUUAGUUGGGCACUCUAGUGAGACUGCCGGUGACAAACCGGAGGAAGGUGGGGAUGACGUCAAAUCAUCAUGCCCCUUAUGACCUGGGCUACACACGUGCUACAAUGGCGUAUACAACGAGUUGCCAACCCGCGAGGGUGAGCUAAUCUCUUAAAGUACGUCUCAGUUCGGAUUGUAGGCUGCAACUCGCCUACAUGAAGUCGGAAUCGCUAGUAAUCGCGGAUCAGCACGCCGCGGUGAAUACGUUCCCGGGUCUUGUACACACCGCCCGUCACACCAUGAGAGUUUGUAACACCCAAAGCCGGUGGGGUAACCUUCGGGAGCCAGCCGUCUAAGGUGGGACAGAUGAUUAGGGUGAAGUCGUAACAAGGUAACCAUAGGGG